CGGGAAAAGCUCAAAUUUAUAAUCCUCACGGAGUUGUAAUCUAGAGACGUGUUUUCGGCCAUUGACUCGGACAAGUUCCUUGGAACAGGACGUCAUAGAGGGUGAGAAUCCCGUACUUGCCGAGCUCCCAAUGUCUAUGUGAUGCACG
This 148-nucleotide ribosomal RNA is filed under the name Dacrymycetaceae sp. Its description in RNAcentral is "partial large subunit ribosomal RNA". It matches the Rfam family "Eukaryotic large subunit ribosomal RNA", at positions 99 to 255 of the family's 3401-position model. The record is from RNAcentral. Lineage: Eukaryota; Fungi; Basidiomycota; Dacrymycetes; Dacrymycetales; Dacrymycetaceae.